AUGAACGCUGGCGGCGUGCCUAAUACAUGCCAGUCGAGCGAACAGACGAGGAGCUUGCUCCUCUGACGUUAGCGGCGGACGGGAGAGUAACACGUGGAUAACCUACCUAUAAGACUGGGGUAACUUCGGGAAACCGGAGCUAAUACCGGAUAAUAUAUUGAACCGCAUGGAUCAAUAGUGAAAGACGGUUUUGCUGUCACUUAUAGAUGGAUCCGCGCCGGAUUAGCUAGUUGGUAAGGUAACGGCCUACCAAGGCAACGAUACGUAGCCGACCUGAGAGGAUGAUCGGCCACACUGGAACUGAGACACGGUCCAGACUCCUACGGGAGGCAGCAGUAGGGAAUCUUGCGCAAUGGGCGAAAGCCUGACGGAGCAACGCCGCGUGAGUGAUGAAGGUCUUCGGAUCGUAAAACUCUGUUAUUAGGGAAGAACAAAUGUGUAAGUAACUAUGCACGUCUUGACGGUACCUAAUCAGAAAGCCACGGCUAACUACGUG
RNAcentral lists this ribosomal RNA (496 nucleotides) under uncultured bacterium. Its description in RNAcentral is "partial 16S ribosomal RNA". It matches the Rfam family "Bacterial small subunit ribosomal RNA", at positions 29 to 507 of the family's 1533-position model. The record is from RNAcentral.